AUGUACCCCUGUACACUCCGGUCCUCCGCGCCGUCCGCACCCACCUGACGACUGCUCGCUACGUUUUGUUAGCC
RNAcentral lists this small RNA (74 nucleotides) under Xanthomonas campestris. RNAcentral's name for it is "sX9 sRNA". It matches the Rfam family "Xanthomonas sRNA sX9". The record is from RNAcentral. RNAcentral also lists the same sequence under 1 other name. Lineage: Bacteria; Pseudomonadati; Pseudomonadota; Gammaproteobacteria; Lysobacterales; Lysobacteraceae.